UACGGAGGGGGCUAGCGUUAUUCGGAAUUAUUGGGCGUAAAGGGCGCGUAGGCGGCCCGGUAAGUCAACGGUGAAAUCCCUCGGCUCAACUGAGGAACUGCCGUUGAAACUGUCGGGCUUGAGUCCGGGAGGGGGUAGCGGAAUUCCCAGUGUAGCGGUGAAAUGCGUAGAUAUUGGGAGGAACACCGGUGGCGAAGGCGGCUACCUGGACCGGUUCUGACGCUGAUGCGCGAAAGCGUGGGUAGCAAACAGG
Molecule: ribosomal RNA, 253 nt
Filed under: uncultured bacterium
Lineage: Bacteria
Description: partial 16S ribosomal RNA
Rfam family: Bacterial small subunit ribosomal RNA
Source: RNAcentral